RNAcentral lists this unclassified non-coding RNA (345 nucleotides) under soil metagenome. RNAcentral's name for it is "partial contains 5.8S ribosomal RNA, internal transcribed spacer 2, and large subunit ribosomal RNA". The stretch from base 1 to 120 matches the Rfam family "5.8S ribosomal RNA", at positions 35 to 154 of the family's 154-position model. The record is from RNAcentral.
GAUGAAGAACGCAGCGAAAUGCGAUAAGUAAUGUGAAUUGCAGAAUUCAGUGAAUCAUCGAAUCUUUGAACGCACAUUGCGCCCCCUGGUAUUCCGGGGGGCAUGCCUGUCCGAGCGUCAUUGCUGCCCUCAAGCACGGCUUGUGUGUUGGGCCCCGUCCUCCGAUCCCGGGGGACGGGCCCGAAAGGCAGCGGCGGCACCGCGUCCGGUCCUCGAGCGUAUGGGGCUUUGUCACCCGCUCUGUAGGCCCGGCCGGCGCUUGCCGAUCAACCCAAAUUUUUAUCCAGGUUGACCUCGGAUCAGGUAGGGAUACCCGCUGAACUUAAGCAUAUCAAUAAGCGGAGA